Molecule: ribosomal RNA, 703 nt
Filed under: Curtobacterium sp.
Lineage: Bacteria; Bacillati; Actinomycetota; Actinomycetes; Micrococcales; Microbacteriaceae
Description: bacterial SSU rRNA
Rfam family: Bacterial small subunit ribosomal RNA
Source: RNAcentral
ACAUGCAGUCGAACGAUGAUGCCCAGCUUGCUGGGUGGAUUAGUGGCGAACGGGUGAGUAACACGUGAGUAACCUGCCCCUGACUCUGGGAUAAGCGUUGGAAACGACGUCUAAUACUGGAUAUGAUCACUGGCCGCAUGGUCUGGUGGUGGAAAGAUUUUUUGGUUGGGGAUGGACUCGCGGCCUAUCAGCUUGUUGGUGAGGUAAUGGCUCACCAAGGCGACGACGGGUAGCCGGCCUGAGAGGGUGACCGGCCACACUGGGACUGAGACACGGCCCAGACUCCUACGGGAGGCAGCAGUGGGGAAUAUUGCACAAUGGGCGAAAGCCUGAUGCAGCAACGCCGCGUGAGGGAUGACGGCCUUCGGGUUGUAAACCUCUUUUAGUAGGGAAGAAGCGAAAGUGACGGUACCUGCAGAAAAAGCACCGGCUAACUACGUGCCAGCAGCCGCGGUAAUACGUAGGGUGCAAGCGUUGUCCGGAAUUAUUGGGCGUAAAGAGCUCGUAGGCGGUUUGUCGCGUCUGCUGUGAAAUCCCGAGGCUCAACCUCGGGCUUGCAGUGGGUACGGGCAGACUAGAGUGCGGUAGGGGAGAUUGGAAUUCCUGGUGUAGCGGUGGAAUGCGCAGAUAUCAGGAGGAACACCGAUGGCGAAGGCAGAUCUCUGGGCCGUAACUGACGCUGAGGAGCGAAAGCAUGGGGAGC